This is a long non-coding RNA of Rhipicephalus microplus (southern cattle tick), 1131 nucleotides long. The record is from RefSeq and is a predicted model, not a curated record. Lineage: Eukaryota; Metazoa; Arthropoda; Arachnida; Ixodida; Ixodidae.
AUAUUGGAAUACUUUGGGAUUUUUCACAAAAAGUCAGCAAAAUAAACCUAGCUUUAGGAAAUGGUUGUUACACUGAUGUUUAUUUUCUGGAAUUUGGAAAUUAACAAAUUUGCCCAUAUCUUGAUAUACUGUUUUUCAAAAUACAGGAUUCAUGGCACCAUGGCUUGAAAUUCAAGUGCAAAUUUGAAAGGAAGAAGUUUUUGAAUGAUGGGGAGGUGGCAGAAAUGCGCCAAAAAUAUGGAAAGCUUGGUCAUCCAUCAACGUCAUCAUCAUCUACAUCGGCAAAACGCCUCUGCAGUGAAGAACAUCUGAAAAGUAUUCAGUCCACUGAAGAUGAGCAGAGUGUGGAAAUGCACAUAAAAUCAAUGCAGCAAGAAAUGAAGGGUGCAACAAUAUCUCUGGAAAAACUCACAGACUCAAUGACCCGCACAUUUCAUGCUCGGCGGCAUUGGGUGAAAGAUUCAAGACCAUCAAUGUAUGAAUUGCUGCAACAGUAUCCGGCACUUGAAAGACCUGAGCUGGCAAGUUUCAGAUGCUUUGUGGAUCUCGCAGUAUCAAUACUCUUCUGCAUCUCUUAUUUCAGAUCUUUCACGACUUCAAAUUGCUUGGUGGGAAGCCACCAAUAGAAACUAUUGUGCAUGCAGCACAGAAGCAUGUUGACACAGUAGUAAACAUGAUGAGGGAAAAGAUGGAGCCGAUAACCUCACAGCUACUGGGAAUGGCCGAAGGAACCAGUGAGGAUGACAAAAAAUUGCUGACAACUCUUGCAUUCCUCACGGCUCUUCCCCGCACUGUGAAGGAAAAGUCGUCAUCAUUCCUCAAACAAACGGCACCGUGGUUCAGCGCACAUCCCUGUGUCAUUUUGGAUAAUGAUGAAUACUUGGGGCCAUGCAUGGUGCUUACAGAAAACCAGCUUUUGAAGGCAGAUAACCCCAUUCAAGCAAUCCUUAUGUGCUUCUGCCUUCACUGGGUACUAGAUAUUUGCUACGACUCUGCCUUUAAGGGGUUUUACUCUAUUCUAGAGAACGUGCUUGGACUGCACAGUGUGAAGCUGUCAGCGACAGCGAUUCAUGUGCUUUCUGCUUUAGAAUGACUUGUGAGAACAAAUAUUCAUAAUCAAAUUUUUGUUAA